GCCUUCGUAGUCUAUUGGUUAACACACUCAGGGCGUACUCGAGAGGUCCAGGUUCGAGUCCUGGUGAGGGCA
RNAcentral lists this transfer RNA (72 nucleotides) under Stegodyphus mimosarum. It matches the Rfam family "tRNA". From Rfam's summary of the family: Transfer RNA (tRNA) molecules are approximately 80 nucleotides in length. Their secondary structure includes four short double-helical elements and three loops (D, anti-codon, and T loops). The record is from Rfam by way of RNAcentral. Lineage: Eukaryota; Metazoa; Arthropoda; Arachnida; Araneae; Eresidae.